AUUUUGCACCAUGGCUCUUUCAUCAGAGAGAGCUGGGGGGUGGUGAGGGGAAGGUGGAGGCCGGCCUGGAAGGAAACCCGGGGGUCAGAGGAACCUGGGGGGCUUCACAAGGCUGGGGAGAGGGGUGUGCUGAAUGUGCUCUGCCACCCAGGUGUCAAGCUCUGGACUCUGGUCUCCAGCUCAGAGUAGAUGAUGCUGCCAGUGGAGACCAGGAGGCCGGUGGGGAGAGCCUGCCUGAUGGGGGAGCAGAGGGGUCCAUGUUCCCUUCCUCAGUCUGGAGACUAUUCCUAGCCUUGGGGCUGCACCUAGGGAUGGACUGAUCCAGGCUGAACCCACAUCUCUGGUGACAUGAGGGGUGAAGGGACUGCUCUGAAAGACUGGCUUGUAACACACCCUGGGUGCCUGACACAGAGCUCAUGGCCAAGAUGCCCACGCAGAUCUGUGCAGCGUCCCUGCUCCCAGGAGCAGCUGAGGACACAGGCUGUCACAAUUGGCCAGACCGAGUGUUGCAGUGGAGAUGGCACAGCCUCGAGUAAAGAAGGGGGCACCCCUCCAGGCAGGGGAGCCAGGUGGGUAAUAUCUGUGCUGAGUAACCAGGCAAACAAAUUGGUGAGGAAGAGCUGGGAAGGGCAUCCAGGCAAAGGGAACAGUGUGAGCAAAGGCCCAGAGCCAGAGGAGAGCCUGGGUGUUCUGGAGCUGUGCGUCACGACUUCCGAGGUGACGCAAUCCAAGGUGUGUCAACCUCCUGCGUCCAGGGCUCCCUUCUCUGAGCUGCCGUCUCCAGCUGACACCCACUUGUCUGUUUCUGCUGAACCUCCUCUAAGAUGGCUCCUCGGGACCCGCUCGAUCGAUAGACUAGGUGAUCAGUCUAACCUCUCCUGCCAUGCUUGAUCUAGAGAGCAGAAAAGGCAGCGCCAUGCAGAGCACACACACGGUCUUCGGGACGGGCGGGGUGAAUGAACCAGCAGGACAAGCUCUCACGUGCCAUCUGCUUUGCUCGUUUCCUUCCUCGGCUCCUUCGCUAGCAAACAUGGCUGCCCUGGGUUCUGCCCACUGGGAAGGGAUCCCCUGUCUGCAGUCCUUCGGGCCCGCCCUUGAGAGCUUCUUGGGAAGGCUUUUCCUAGGAGGGGACACAGCUGCCCAGGCGGCCUGCUUCUUCUUGGUGCCUGUACUUGGGCCUCAGAAUCGCCCAGAGGAAACCAACUCAAGAGAGUUUGUACUGGGUUGAAUGUUGUCCCCCCCGAAUUCAUACUCCCCUGGAACCUCAGAAUGUGACCAUAAUUGGAAAUAAGGCCCUGGUAGAUCUAAUUAGCUAAGAUGGGCUCAUCUGGAUUCAGGUGUCCUUAUAAGAAGAGGGAAAUUUGGACAAAGAUUCGGACACAAGGGGAGAGCACGGUUUGAAGAUGGAGGCAGAGGUUGGAGUGAGGCACCUACAAGCCAAGAAACACCAAGGACGGCAGGCAGCCACCAGAAGCCAGGAGAGAGGCAGGGACAGAUUCGCCCUCGGGAUCUCUGGAAGGAACCAACCCUGCCAACACUGCAAUUUCAGACUUCUGGCCUCCUGAACCAUGAGAGAAUAAAUUUCUAUUGUUU
Equus caballus (horse) is the source of this 1593-nucleotide long non-coding RNA. The record is from Ensembl. Lineage: Eukaryota; Metazoa; Chordata; Mammalia; Perissodactyla; Equidae.